GACGAACGCUGGCGGCGUGCUUAACACAUGCAAGUCGAACGGAAAGGCCCUGCUUUUGUGGGGUGCUCGAGUGGCGAACGGGUGAGUAAGACGUGAGUAACCUGCCCUUGACUUUGGGAUAACUUCAGGAAACUGGGGCUAAUACCGGAUAGGAGCUCCUGCUGCAUGGUGGGGGUUGGAAAGUUUCGGCGGUUGGGGAUGGACUCGCGGCUUAUCAGCUUGUUGGUGGGGUAGUGGCUUACCAAAGCUUUGACGGGUAGCCGGCCUGAGAGGGUGACCGGCCACAUUGGGACUGAGAUACGGCCCAGACUCCUACGGGAGGCAGCAGUGGGGAAUAUUGCACAAUGGGCGGAAGCCUGAUGCAGCAACGCCGCGUGCGGGAUGACGGCCUUCGGGUUGUAAACCGCUUUCGCCUGUGACGAAGCGUGAGUGACGGUAAUGGGUAAAGAAGCACCGGCUAACUACGUG
RNAcentral lists this ribosomal RNA (468 nucleotides) under uncultured bacterium. RNAcentral's name for it is "partial 16S ribosomal RNA". It matches the Rfam family "Bacterial small subunit ribosomal RNA", at positions 28 to 507 of the family's 1533-position model. The record is from RNAcentral.